This is a long non-coding RNA of Apis mellifera (honey bee), 521 nucleotides long. RefSeq lists it as uncharacterized. The record is from RefSeq and is a predicted model, not a curated record. The transcript has 3 exons. NCBI's taxonomy places the organism in Eukaryota, Metazoa, Arthropoda, Insecta, Hymenoptera, Apidae.
UACUGUACGUCUGCACGAUGAAAUUGCAUUCUCUACAUUGCGCGUGCGUUUAUAAAAUAUAUAAUAUCGAAUUUAGCAUGAAAUAACAGUUAUUUCAACGAUGUUGUAGAAUCAUAUGUUAUAUAGAUUCGUGUAGGAAUCGGCAGAUGCGCAGAAAACGAUUCAAAUUAUGAUACUUAUAUCUUGCAUGCGCAAUAGAUUGUAGAUUAGAUUUCCAGGUUUUUUGAUCAUAGAUGGUAGAUCUCUUUCGCGAGCAAUUUUGCAUGGAGAAAUAUGAUUUGUCGUGGUUAAAAAAAUGAGAUUGAAAUUGAACAUCAACAUACAAAUCCAGGUUGUGCCAUUUGCAAAAAACGUUUCCAUUCUUCUAUCGGUAAUCUAGGCUACACCAAUGCAUCAUUAAAUUGAGAAAGGUGAUCAAAUUAUAGACAUUCCAAUUUCUGGUUUACCUUUUGAUCUUCGUUUGAUAUUCCACUAUGUCCACAAUUCUCUUCUGCAUGGUAUUCUCGCUGGUAAUCGAUCCA